Molecule: ribosomal RNA, 497 nt
Filed under: uncultured bacterium
Lineage: Bacteria
Description: partial 16S ribosomal RNA
Rfam family: Bacterial small subunit ribosomal RNA
Source: RNAcentral
GAUGAACGCUGGCGGCGUGCCUAAUACAUGCAAGUCGAGCGAACGGACGAGAAGCUUGCUUCUCUGAUGUUAGCGGCGGACGGGUGAGUAACACGUGGGUAACCUACCUAUAAGACUGGGAUAACUUCGGGAAACCGGAGCUAAUACCGGAUAAUAUUUUGAACCGCAUGGUUCAAAAGUGAAAGACGGUCUUGCUGUCACUUAUAGAUGGAUCCGCGCUGCAUUAGCUAGUUGGUAAGGUAACGGCUUACCAAGGCAACGAUGCAUAGCCGACCUGAGAGGGUGAUCGGCCACACUGGAACUGAGACACGGUCCAGACUCCUACGGGAGGCAGCAGUAGGGAAUCUUCCGCAAUGGGCGAAAGCCUGACGGAGCAACGCCGCGUGAGUGAUGAAGGUCUUCGGAUCGUAAAACUCUGUUAUUAGGGAAGAACAUAUGUGUAAGUAACUGUGCACAUCUUGACGGUACCUAAUCAGAAAGCCACGGCUAACUACGUG